UACGUAGGAUACAAGCGUUGUCCGGAUUUACUGGGCGUAAAGCGCGCGCAGGCGGCACUCUAAGUACGUCGUGAAAUAUCCCGGCUCAACCGGGAGGGUGCGAUGUAGACUAGGGAGCUAGAGGUCGGUAGAGGGGGGUGGAAUUGCUGGUGUAGCGGUGAAAUGCGUAGAGAUCAGCAGGAACACCCGUGGCGAAGGCGGCCCCCUGGGCCGUACCUGACGCUGAGGCGCGAAGGCUAGGGGAGCGAACGGG
Molecule: ribosomal RNA, 253 nt
Filed under: uncultured bacterium
Lineage: Bacteria
Description: partial 16S ribosomal RNA
Rfam family: Bacterial small subunit ribosomal RNA
Source: RNAcentral